GCGGAUGUGGCGCAGUUGGUAGCGCAUAACCUUGCCAAGGUUAGGGUCGCGAGUUCGAGUCUCGUCAUCCGCUCCA
This 76-nucleotide transfer RNA is filed under the name Corynebacterium provencense. RNAcentral's name for it is "tRNA-Gly". It matches the Rfam family "tRNA". Rfam says of the family: Transfer RNA (tRNA) molecules are approximately 80 nucleotides in length. The record is from RNAcentral. Lineage: Bacteria; Bacillati; Actinomycetota; Actinomycetes; Mycobacteriales; Corynebacteriaceae.